RNAcentral lists this ribosomal RNA (253 nucleotides) under uncultured bacterium. RNAcentral's name for it is "partial 16S ribosomal RNA". It matches the Rfam family "Bacterial small subunit ribosomal RNA", at positions 524 to 776 of the family's 1533-position model. The record is from RNAcentral.
UACGUAGGGUGCGAGCGUUAAUCGGAAUUACUGGGCGUAAAGUGUGCGCAGGUGGCCGCGCAAGUCGAGUGUGAAAUCCCCGAGCUUAACUUGGGAAUUGCGCUCGAAACUACGUGGCUCGAGUGUGGCAGAGGAAGGUGGAAUUCCACGUGUAGCGGUGAAAUGCGUAGAGAUGUGGAGGAACACCGAUGGCGAAGGCAGCCUUCUGGGCCAACACUGACGCUCAGGCACGAAAGCGUGGGGAGCGAACAGG